UACGAGGGGGGCGAGCGUUGUUCGGAAUUAUUGGGCGUAAAGGGUGCGUAGGCGGUUUGGUAAGUCUGAUGUGAAAUCUAUGGGCUCAACUCAUAGUCUGCAUCGGAAACUGCCGGGCUUGAGUGUGGGAGAGGUGAGUGGAAUUCCUGGUGUAGCGGUGAAAUGCGUAGAUAUCAGGAGGAACACCUGCGGCGAAAGCGGCUCACUGGACCACAACUGACGCUGAUGCACGAAAGCUAGGGGAGCAAACAGG
This 253-nucleotide ribosomal RNA is filed under the name uncultured bacterium. RNAcentral's name for it is "partial 16S ribosomal RNA". It matches the Rfam family "Bacterial small subunit ribosomal RNA", at positions 524 to 776 of the family's 1533-position model. The record is from RNAcentral.